Grammomys surdaster is the source of this 132-nucleotide small nucleolar RNA. RefSeq annotates it as small nucleolar RNA SNORA17. NCBI's taxonomy places the organism in Eukaryota, Metazoa, Chordata, Mammalia, Rodentia, Muridae. The transcript has a single exon. The record is from RefSeq and is a predicted model, not a curated record.
ACUGACUACAGAAGCAUUGCAGGUGUGGCUGCUGUGUCACAUGUGCCCCAGUAGGUGGCAGAGGGGAGAGAGGCUAUGUCUACACUCAGUGUUCUUACCUGUGAACAUCUGAACGGUUAGUAGCCUAACAUU